CAGCAGCCACGGUAAAACGAGGGGUGCAAGCGUUAUUCGGAUUGAUUGGGUGUAAAGGGUGUGCAGACGGCUUAUUAAGUCACUUGUUAAAUUCUUCGGCCUAACUGAAGGUCUGCAAGUGAUACUGAUGAGCUAGAGGGUGGAAGAGAGAAGUGGAAUUCUCGGAGUAGCGGUAAAAUGCGUAGAUCUCGAGAGGAACACCAAUGGCGAAGGCAGCUUCUUGGUCCAUUCCUGACGUUCAUACACGAAAGCGUGGGGAGCAAACAGGAUUAGAUACCCGCGUAGUCCCUGUCUCUUAUAC
RNAcentral lists this ribosomal RNA (301 nucleotides) under uncultured bacterium. RNAcentral describes it as "partial 16S ribosomal RNA". It matches the Rfam family "Bacterial small subunit ribosomal RNA", at positions 509 to 807 of the family's 1533-position model. The record is from RNAcentral.